This 70-nucleotide transfer RNA is filed under the name Isopachys gyldenstolpei. RNAcentral describes it as "tRNA-Ser". Lineage: Eukaryota; Metazoa; Chordata; Lepidosauria; Squamata; Scincidae. The record is from RNAcentral.
GACCGAGGGGUGUGCGCACACAAAGAGCUGCUAACUCUUUACGCCGAGGUUAAAUUCCCCGGACCCCUCA